GUGCCAGCAGCCGCGGUAAUACGGAGGGAGCUAGCGUUAUUCGGAAUUACUGGGCGUAAAGCGCACGUAGGCGGCUUUGUAAGUCAGAGGUGAAAGCCCGGGGCUCAACCCCGGAAUAGCCUUUGAAACUAGAUAGCUUGAAUCACGGAGAGGUGGGUGGAAUUCCGAGUGUAGAGGUGAAAUUCGUAGAUAUUCGGAAGAACACCAGUGGCGAAGGCGGCCCACUGGACGUGUAUUGACGCUGAGGUGCGAAAGCGUGGGGAGCAGACAGGAUUAGAAACCCGAGUAGUCC
RNAcentral lists this ribosomal RNA (292 nucleotides) under uncultured bacterium. RNAcentral describes it as "partial 16S ribosomal RNA". It matches the Rfam family "Bacterial small subunit ribosomal RNA", at positions 505 to 796 of the family's 1533-position model. The record is from RNAcentral.